RNAcentral lists this ribosomal RNA (870 nucleotides) under uncultured bacterium. Its description in RNAcentral is "bacterial SSU rRNA". It matches the Rfam family "Bacterial small subunit ribosomal RNA", at positions 9 to 873 of the family's 1533-position model. The record is from RNAcentral.
AGAGUUUGAUCCUGGCUCAGAUUGAACGCUGGCGGAAUGCUUUACACAUGCAAGUCGAGCGGUAGUCCUUCGGGAUGAGAGCGGCGAACGGGUGAGUAAUGCAUCGGAAUGUAUCCUAUGGUGGGGAACAACCUGGCGAAAGCCAGGCUAAUACCGCAUGAGCCCUGAGGGGGAAAGCGGGGGACCAGUGAUGGCCUCGCGCCGUUGGAGCAGCCGAUGUCAGAUUAGCUAGUUGGUGGGGUAAAGGCUCACCAAGGCGACGAUCUGUAGCGGGUCUGAGAGGAUGAUCCGCCACACUGGAACUGAGACACGGUCCAGACUCCUACGGGAGGCAGCAGUGGGGAAUUUUGGACAAUGGGCGCAAGCCUGAUCCAGCCAUUCCGCGUGAGUGAAGAAGGCCUUCGGGUUGUAAAGCUCUUUCGGCCGGGAAGAAAUCGUAUCCGCUAAUACCGGGUAUGGAUGACGGUACCGGACUAAGAAGCACCGGCUAACUACGUGCCAGCAGCCGCGGUAAUACGUAGGGUGCGAGCGUUAAUCGGAAUUACUGGGCGUAAAGCGUGCGCAGGCGGUUUUGUAAGACAGCUGUGAAAUCCCCGGGCUCAACCUGGGAACUGCGGUUGUGACUGCAAGGCUUGAGUACGGCAGAGGGGGGUGGAAUUCCACGUGUAGCAGUGAAAUGCGUAGAUAUGUGGAGGAACACCAAUGGCGAAGGCAGCCCCCUGGGUCGAUACUGACGCUCAUGCACGAAAGCGUGGGGAGCAAACAGGAUUAGAUACCCUGGUAGUCCACGCCCUAAACGAUGCCAACUGGGUGUUGGGGAAGGAGACUUCCUUAGUACCGAAGCUAACGCGUGAAGUGGCCGCCUGGGAG